This 459-nucleotide ribosomal RNA is filed under the name uncultured bacterium. RNAcentral describes it as "partial 16S ribosomal RNA". It matches the Rfam family "Bacterial small subunit ribosomal RNA", at positions 338 to 795 of the family's 1533-position model. The record is from RNAcentral.
CCUACGGGAGGCAGCAGUGAGGAAUAUUGGUCAAUGGGCGCGAGCCUGAACCAGCCAAGUAGCGUGAAGGAUGACUGCCCUACGGGUUGUAAACUUCUUUUAUAAAGGAAUAAAGUGAGGCACGUGUGCCUGUUUGUAUGUACUUUAUGAAUAAGGAUCGGCUAACUCCGUGCCAGCAGCCGCGGUAAUACGGAGGAUGCGAGCGUUAUCCGGAUUUAUUGGGUUUAAAGGGUGCGCAGGCGGAAUGUCAAGUCAGCGGUAAAAUUUCGGGGCUCAACCCCGUCGUGCCGUUGAAACUGGCGUUCUUGAGUGAGCGAGAAGUAUGCGGAAUGCGUGGUGUAGCGGUGAAAUGCAUAGAUAUCACGCAGAACUCCGAUUGCGAAGGCAGCAUACCGGCGCUCAACUGACGCUCAUGCACGAAAGCGUGGGUAUCGAACAGGAUUAGAUACCCGUGUAGUC